RNAcentral lists this transfer RNA (71 nucleotides) under Marmota monax (woodchuck). It matches the Rfam family "tRNA". From Rfam's summary of the family: Transfer RNA (tRNA) molecules are approximately 80 nucleotides in length. Their secondary structure includes four short double-helical elements and three loops (D, anti-codon, and T loops). The record is from Rfam by way of RNAcentral. Lineage: Eukaryota; Metazoa; Chordata; Mammalia; Rodentia; Sciuridae.
GUUGCUGUAGCUCAGUGGCAGAGUGCUUGCCUUGCACAUGUGAGGCACUGGGUUCAAUCCCCAGCACAAUA